Molecule: ribosomal RNA, 464 nt
Filed under: uncultured bacterium
Lineage: Bacteria
Description: partial 16S ribosomal RNA
Rfam family: Bacterial small subunit ribosomal RNA
Source: RNAcentral
CCUACGGGAGGCAGCAGUGGGGAAUCUUCCGCAAUGGGCGAAAGCCUGACGCAGCAACGCCGCGUGAUCGAAUGAAGGCCUUCGGGUUGUAAAGAUCUGUUGACAGGGGCGAAUAAGCAACGCGAAUAGUUUUGUGUAUGACGGUACCUGUUUAGAAAGCUCCGGCUAACUACGGGCCCGCAGCCGCGGUAAUACGUAGGGAGCAAGCGUUGUCCGGAAUUACUGGGCGGAAGGGGCUGGUAGGUGGGCGCUUAAGUCAGGUGUGAAAACUCCGGGCCCAACCUGGGGACUGCACUUGAAACUGGGUGUCUUGAGUGCAGGAGAGGAAAGUGGAAUUCCUGGUGUAGCGGUGAAAUGCGUAGAUAUUAGGAGGAACACCAGUGGCGAAGGCGACUUUCUGGACUGUACCUGACGCUGAGGCGCGAAAGCGUGGGUAGCGAACGGGAUUAGAUACCCGGGUAGUC